Molecule: transfer RNA, 72 nt
Filed under: Stegodyphus dumicola
Lineage: Eukaryota; Metazoa; Arthropoda; Arachnida; Araneae; Eresidae
Description: tRNA-Ala
Rfam family: tRNA
About the family: Transfer RNA (tRNA) molecules are approximately 80 nucleotides in length. Their secondary structure includes four short double-helical elements and three loops (D, anti-codon, and T loops). Further hydrogen bonds mediate the characteristic L-shaped molecular structure. tRNAs have two regions of fundamental functional importance: the anti-codon, which is responsible for specific mRNA codon recognition, and the 3' end, to which the tRNAs corresponding amino acid is attached (by aminoacyl-tRNA synthetases). tRNAs cope with the degeneracy of the genetic code in two manners: having more than one tRNA (with a specific anti-codon) for a particular amino acid; and 'wobble' base-pairing, i.e. permitting non-standard base-pairing at the 3rd anti-codon position.
Source: RNAcentral
GCCUUCGUGGUGCAGUGGUUAGCACGCUCGACGCGCAUUCGAGAGGUCCGUGGUCGAGUCCCAGCGAGGGCA